AGAGUUUGAUCCUGGCUCAGGAUGAACGCUGGCGGCGUGCUUAACACAUGCAAGUCGAACGAAGCACUUUUACAGAUUUCUUCGGAAUGAAGUUUUGGUGACUGAGUGGCGGACGGGUGAGUAACGCGUGGGUAACCUGCCUCACACAGGGGGAUAACAGUUGGAAACGGCUGCUAAUACCGCAUAAGCGCACAGUACCGCAUGGUACAGUGUGAAAAACUCCGGUGGUGUGAGAUGGACCCGCGUCUGAUUAGCUAGUUGGCAGGGCAACGGCCUACCAAGGCGACGAUCAGUAGCCGACCUGAGAGGGUGACCGGCCACAUUGGGACUGAGACACGGCCCAAACUCCUACGGGAGGCAGCAGUGGGGAAUAUUGCACAAUGGGGGAAACCCUGAUGCAGCGACGCCGCGUGAGCGAAGAAGUAUUUCGGUAUGUAAAGCUCUAUCAGCAGGGAAGAAGAAAUGACGGUACCUGACUAAGAAGCACCGGCUAAAUACGUGCCAGCAGCCGCGGU
This 515-nucleotide ribosomal RNA is filed under the name uncultured Gram-positive bacterium. Its description in RNAcentral is "bacterial SSU rRNA". It matches the Rfam family "Bacterial small subunit ribosomal RNA", at positions 8 to 521 of the family's 1533-position model. The record is from RNAcentral.